RNAcentral lists this transfer-messenger RNA (382 nucleotides) under Erysipelotrichaceae bacterium. It matches the Rfam family "transfer-messenger RNA". Rfam says of the family: Bacterial tmRNA, also known as 10Sa RNA or SsrA, is named for its dual tRNA and mRNA-like properties. Its role is to liberate the mRNA from a stalled ribosome. To accomplish this part of the tmRNA is used as a reading frame that ends in a translation stop signal. The record is from RNAcentral. Lineage: Bacteria; Bacillati; Bacillota; Erysipelotrichia; Erysipelotrichales; Erysipelotrichaceae.
GGGGGUGUUCAGGCAUUCGAUAGAUAAAUGUUUGGAUCCGACUACAGCCGUGAAGGAACACGUAAAAACCAACUUAAAUUAAACGCAAAAACUAAAUUAGCUAAUGUAUUUGGAUUUAACCAAAGCAUGGCUUUCGCUGCUUAAUUCGUCGAAACAGACUUGCAGCCCCUUUUAAGAAUUUCGCUUUCUUAUUCUUAAAUGUGUGUUAUGGCAAAGAAGCUAGGAUAACCUUUUGACCGCAAGGAAGUCUGAAAUAUUCAGGUCGAUUUGAAUGAUUCCCUUCUGUUCAUCCAGGCAUUCAAAUUAUAAGAUGAAAUAAGCUGUAAACGUUGUUUCGUGGGACUUUGUUUAGACAGGAGUUCGAUUCUCCUCACCUCCACCA